RNAcentral lists this ribosomal RNA (468 nucleotides) under uncultured bacterium. Its description in RNAcentral is "partial 16S ribosomal RNA". It matches the Rfam family "Bacterial small subunit ribosomal RNA", at positions 28 to 507 of the family's 1533-position model. The record is from RNAcentral.
GACGAACGCUGGCGGCGUGCUUAACACAUGCAAGCCGAACGGAAAGGCCCUGCUUUUGUGGGGUGCUCGAGUGGCGAACGGGUGAGUAACACGUGAGUAACCUGCCCUUGACUUUGGGAUAACUUCAGGAAACUGGGGCUAAUACCGGAUAGGAGCUCCUGCUGCAUGGUGGGGGUUGGAAAGUUUCGGCGGUUGGGGAUGGACUCGCGGCUUAUCAGCUUGUUGGUGGGGUAGUGGCUUACCAAGGCUUUGACGGGUAGCCGGCCUGAGAGGGUGACCGGCCACAUUGGGACUGAGAUACGGCCCAGACUCCUAAGGGAGGCAGAAGUGGGGAAUAUUGCACAAUGGGCGGAAGCCUGAUGCAGCAACGCCGCGUGCGGGAUGACGGCCUUCGGGUUGUAAACCGCUUUCGCCUGUGACGAAGCGUGAGUGACGGUAAUGGGUAAAGAAGCACCGGCUAACUACGUG